Non-coding RNA from Phalacrocorax carbo (great cormorant), 999 nucleotides. The record is from RefSeq and is a predicted model, not a curated record. Lineage: Eukaryota; Metazoa; Chordata; Aves; Suliformes; Phalacrocoracidae.
CUUAAGCCAGCUAUUAAUAUGUUUGUGGUACGUUUUCCUCUCAAGAUCUGGGAACUGAGUGAUGUUCUCCUCCUGAAAACAAUAUUAGCCCAGCUCUUACAGAGGGUUGCACUGCACUACAUUUAAAACUAAAAUAUCUCUCGGCUUGGGUUUAAAAUGUAAUGCUUUUUUUUUUUUUUUUUUUUUUAUCUUUCAGCCCAAGAACUUGCCAGUCAAGAUGAAAAACUUCUUCUAAUGGAAUCCAGCUUGAAAGCAACUCAAGAGCAGCUAAGUGAGCAAAUAGCAGAAACAGUUCGCCAAGAACAGAACAGUAGAAAAUCACAGACAGAGCUGAAGACCCUGAGAGAACAUAUUAUAGCUUCUGAAGAAGAAAUUAGUGAUUACAAGUGAGUUACUGCUUUUUCAGUAUUCAAGGAACAGAAGACAUUAAAGUCAACAGUAAAUCCUUUUAAUAUGUACUGUAUUAAUCAUUUCUCUCAGAGACAUCACAGUGUGCACCAUAUGGAGCUACAACUGAGGCAGAAAUGUUCCCAGCCACUGUAAAAAGUUCACUUUGUUUACCACUGUCAAACUUAUGAUGGAAUAAUUCCUAUUUCCUCUUAAAAAUGAGGAAAAGUGUGCAGAACUUUAAGGUAAGAAUAACAGCAUGAAAGAAAGAGGAAGAAUACCAGCUUCUCAAGGCCCGUGUCCACCAGACCUGGAAUAACCUGGAAUAAGCAGAAAUAGUUUCAAUCAGCUGAAGAACUAGAAAAUUUGAAGAAGCAGCUCCUUAGGUCUGAAAAAUGUGAGUAGUGUCUUCAAAAAAUCUACAUGGGAACCAUGCCAACAGUGUGGGACCAGGAAAAGCAAAUUGUCAGACUGAAACAAAACUUUGUGGAAAUGGAGAGAGAGGUGGAGAACUUAUGAUUUACACAUAGCAAUGAUGCUCAGAUGCACCACAGGAAAGGCAGUGAUGAAGUAAUUGAUCAAGGACAUACAUUGAGGUAAGUUGCCUCCAGG